GUCUAUGGCCAUGCUACCCUGACCACACCCGAUCCCGUCUGAUCUCAGAAGCUAAGCAGGGUCAGGCCUGGUUAGUACUUGUAUGGGAGACCACCUAGGAAGACCAGGUGCUGUAGGAA
Molecule: ribosomal RNA, 119 nt
Filed under: Pteropus alecto (black flying fox)
Lineage: Eukaryota; Metazoa; Chordata; Mammalia; Chiroptera; Pteropodidae
Source: RNAcentral